GACGAGGGGUCCUAGCGUUGUUCGGAAUUAUUGGGCGUAAAGCGCAUGUAGGCGGCUAUUUAAGUCAGGUGUGAAAUCCCCGGGCUCAACCCGGGAAGUGCAUCUGAUACUGGAUAGCUUGAGUACUGGAGAGGGUAGUGGAAUUCCUGGUGUAGUGGUGAAAUACGUAGAUAUCAGGAGGAACACCUGUGGCGAAGGCGGCUACCUGGCCAUGUACUGACGCUGAGAUGCGAAAGCGUGGGGAGCAAACAGGAUUAGAAACCCCCGUAGUCC
RNAcentral lists this ribosomal RNA (273 nucleotides) under uncultured bacterium. RNAcentral describes it as "partial 16S ribosomal RNA". It matches the Rfam family "Bacterial small subunit ribosomal RNA", at positions 524 to 796 of the family's 1533-position model. The record is from RNAcentral.